RNAcentral lists this long non-coding RNA (324 nucleotides) under Prunus persica (peach). Its description in RNAcentral is "long non-coding RNA (PPER_LNC003322)". The record is from RNAcentral. Lineage: Eukaryota; Viridiplantae; Streptophyta; Magnoliopsida; Rosales; Rosaceae.
UUAACAACUGCAAGCCUGUUUUGGUAAGCUUGAAGUUAUCUCUUGGAAAGCUUAAUGGGCCAACUUGUCUCCACUCUAACGUCCAAAAAUUGUUGAAAUUUAUCAUGCUGUGGCGGCCGCAAAUUUUAAAUAGAUACGAUCCAUGAACAGUACAUUACUUAAUUGGUUGGAUAUGUUAACCUAAAAGUUUAUAGAAAGGUGGCGUGGCUCCACGUAAUUAGGCCUACUCUCUUCUUCAGAUUUGCUCCAUGUUAGUGAGGUUCAUGUGUCAACCCCAAAAGAAAAAGAAAGGUGAGGUCUGUGUGGAUUAUAUAUCUGCUUGUC